UUAAGUUAUUAAGGGCGCACGGUGGAUGCCUUGGCACUAGAAGCCGAUGAAGGACGUUACUAACGACGAUAUGCUUUGGGGAGCUGUAAGUAAGCUUUGAUCCAGAGAUUUCCGAAUGGGGAAACCCAGCAUGAGUUAUGUCAUGUUAUCGAUAUGUGAAUACAUAGCAUAUCAGAAGGCACACCCGGAGAACUGAAACAUCUUAGUACCCGGAGGAAGAGAAAGAAAAUUCGAUUCCCUUAGUAGCGGCGAGCGAAACGGGAAGAGCCCAAACCAACAAGCUUGCUUGUUGGGGUUGUAGGACACUCUAUACGGAGUUACAAAGGACGACAUUAGACGAAUCAUCUGGAAAGAUGAAUCAAAGAAGGUAAUAAUCCUGUAGUCGAAAAUGUUGUCUCUCUUGAGUGGAUCCUGAGUACGACGGAGCACGUGAAAUUCCGUCGGAAUCUGGGAGGACCAUCUCCUAAGGCUAAAUACUCUCUAGUGACCGAUAGUGAACCAGUACCGUGAGGGAAAGGUGAAAAGCACCCCGGAAGGGGAGUGAAAUAGAACCUGAAACCGUGUGCUUACAAGUAGUCAGAGCCCGUUAAUGGGUGAUGGCGUGCCUUUUGUAGAAUGAACCGGCGAGUUACGAUUUGAUGCAAGGUUAAGCAGUAAAUGUGGAGCCGUAGCGAAAGCGAGUCUGAAUAGGGCGUUUAGUAUUUGGUCGUAGACCCGAAACCAGGUGAUCUACCCUUGGUCAGGUUGAAGUUCAGGUAACACUGAAUGGAGGACCGAACCGACUUACGUUGAAAAGUGAGCGGAUGAACUGAGGGUAGCGGAGAAAUUCCAAUCGAACCUGGAGAUAGCUGGUUCUCUCCGAAAUAGCUUUAGGGCUAGCCUCAAGUGAUGAUUAUUGGAGGUAGAGCACUGUUUGGACGAGGGGCCCCUCUCGGGUUACCGAAUUCAGACAAACUCCGAAUGCCAAUUAAUUUAACUUGGGAGUCAGAACAUGGGUGAUAAGGUCCGUGUUCGAAAGGGAAACAGCCCAGACCACCAGCUAAGGUCCCAAAAUAUAUGUUAAGUGGAAAAGGAUGUGGCGUUGCCCAGACAACUAGGAUGUUGGCUUAGAAGCAGCCAUCAUUUAAAGAGUGCGUAAUAGCUCACUAGUCGAGUGACACUGCGCCGAAAAUGUACCGGGGCUAAACAUAUUACCGAAGCUGUGGAUUGUCCUUUGGACAAUGGUAGGAGAGCGUUCUAAGGGCGUUGAAGCAUGAUCGUAAGGACAUGUGGAGCGCUUAGAAGUGAGAAUGCCGGUGUGAGUAGCGAAAGACGGGUGAGAAUCCCGUCCACCGAUUGACUAAGGUUUCCAGAGGAAGGCUCGUCCGCUCUGGGUUAGUCGGGUCCUAAGCUGAGGCCGACAGGCGUAGGCGAUGGAUAACAGGUUGAUAUUCCUGUACCACCUAUAAUCGUUUUAAUCGAUGGGGGGACGCAGUAGGAUAGGCGAAGCGUGCGAUUGGAUUGCACGUCUAAGCAGUAAGGCUGAGUAUUAGGCAAAUCCGGUACUCAUUAAGGCUGAGCUGUGAUGGGGAGAAGACAUUGUGUCUUCGAGUCGUUGAUUUCACACUGCCGAGAAAAGCCUCUAGAUAGAAAAUAGGUGCCCGUACCGCAAACCGACACAGGUAGUCAAGAUGAGAAUUCUAAGGUGAGCGAGCGAACUCUCGUUAAGGAACUCGGCAAAAUGACCCCGUAACUUCGGGAGAAGGGGUGCUCUUUAGGGUUAACGCCCAGAAGAGCCGCAGUGAAUAGGCCCAAGCGACUGUUUAUCAAAAACACAGGUCUCUGCUAAACCGUAAGGUGAUGUAUAGGGGCUGACGCCUGCCCGGUGCUGGAAGGUUAAGAGGAGUGGUUAGCUUCUGCGAAGCUACGAAUCGAAGCCCCAGUAAACGGCGGCCGUAACUAUAACGGUCCUAAGGUAGCGAAAUUCCUUGUCGGGUAAGUUCCGACCCGCACGAAAGGCGUAACGAUUUGGGCACUGUCUCAACGAGAGACUCGGUGAAAUCAUAGUACCUGUGAAGAUGCAGGUUACCCGCGACAGGACGGAAAGACCCCGUGGAGCUUUACUGUAGCCUGAUAUUGAAAUUCGGCACAGCUUGUACAGGAUAGGUAGGAGCCUUUGAAACGUGAGCGCUAGCUUACGUGGAGGCGCUGGUGGGAUACUACCCUAGCUGUGUUGGCUUUCUAACCCGCACCACUUAUCGUGGUUGGAGACAGUGUCAGGCGGGCAGUUUGACUGGGGCGGUCGCCUCCUAAAAGGUAACGGAGGCGCUCAAAGGUUCCCUCAGAAUGGUUGGAAAUCAUUCAUAGAGUGUAAAGGCAUAAGGGAGCUUGACUGCGAGACCUACAAGUCGAGCAGGGUCGAAAGACGGACUUAGUGAUCCGGUGGUUCCGCAUGGAAGGGCCAUCGCUCAACGGAUAAAAGCUACCCCGGGGAUAACAGGCUUAUCUCCCCCAAGAGUUCACAUCGACGGGGAGGUUUGGCACCUCGAUGUCGGCUCAUCGCAUCCUGGGGCUGUAGUCGGUCCCAAGGGUUGGGCUGUUCGCCCAUUAAAGCGGUACGCGAGCUGGGUUCAGAACGUCGUGAGACAGUUCGGUCCCUAUCCGUCGUGGGCGUAGGAAAUUUGAGAGGAGCUGUCCUUAGUACGAGAGGACCGGGAUGGACAUACCUCUGGUGUACCAGUUGUCGUGCCAACGGCAUAGCUGGGUAGCUAUGUGUGGACGGGAUAAGUGCUGAAAGCAUCUAAGCAUGAAGCCCCCCUCAAGAUGAGAUUUCCCAACUUCGGUUAUAAGAUCCCUCAAAGAUGAUGAGGUUAAUAGGUUCGAGGUGGAAGCAUGGUGACAUGUGGAGCUGACGAAUACUAAUCGAUCGAAGACUUAAUCAA
RNAcentral lists this ribosomal RNA (2921 nucleotides) under Staphylococcus aureus. RNAcentral's name for it is "bacterial LSU rRNA". It matches the Rfam family "Bacterial large subunit ribosomal RNA". Lineage: Bacteria; Bacillati; Bacillota; Bacilli; Caryophanales; Staphylococcaceae. The record is from RNAcentral.